This 819-nucleotide long non-coding RNA is filed under the name Lonchura striata (white-rumped munia). RNAcentral's name for it is "domestica (Bengalese finch) lncRNA (ENSLSDG00000000968.1)". Lineage: Eukaryota; Metazoa; Chordata; Aves; Passeriformes; Estrildidae. The record is from RNAcentral.
ACCGCCCCCCUGGACGGCGUCAUCCUGGUGGUGGCGGCCACCGACGGGCAGAUGCCGCAGACCCGCGAGCACCUCCUGCUGGCACGGCAGGUGAGCACAGGUAAAGGGACAGGUGGGACAGGUGAGACAGGUAAAGGGACAGGUGAGACAGGUAAAGGGACAGGUGAGACAGGUGAGACAUGGACAGGUGGGACAGGGACAGGUGGGAUAGGUAAAGGGACAUGGACAGGUGAGACAGGUAAAGGGACAGGUGAGAUGGGACAGGUGAGACAUGGACAGGUGUGUCAGCACCUCCUGCUGGCACAGCAGGUAAGGACAGGUGGGACAGGUAAAGGGACAGGUGGGACAUGGACAGGUGGGACAGGUAAAGGGACAGGUAAAGGGACAGGUGGGACAGGUAAAGGGACAGGUGAGACAGGGACAGGUGAGACACACGGCCACCGACGGGCAGAUGCCGCAGACCCGCGAGCACCUCCUGCUGGCACGGCAGGUAAACUGCAGGUGGGACAGGUGAGACAGGGACAGGUGGGACAGGUAAAGGGACAGGUGAGACAGGUGAGAGACAGGUAAAGGGACAGGUAAAGGGACAGGUAAAGGGACAGGUGAGACAGGUGAGACAUGGACAGGUGGGACAUGGACAGGUGAGACAGGUGGGACAGGUAAAGGGACAGGUGGGACAUGGACAGGUGGGACAUGGACAGGUGGGACAUGGACAGGUGGGACAUGGACAGGUGGGACAGGUAAAGGGACAGGUGGGACAUGGACAGGUGGGACAUGGACAGGUGUGUCAGCACCUCCUGCUGGCACGGCAGGUGAGGA